RNAcentral lists this ribosomal RNA (253 nucleotides) under uncultured bacterium. RNAcentral's name for it is "partial 16S ribosomal RNA". It matches the Rfam family "Bacterial small subunit ribosomal RNA", at positions 524 to 776 of the family's 1533-position model. The record is from RNAcentral.
CACGUAGGGCGCAAGCGUUGUCCGGAAUUAUUGGGCGUAAAGAGCUCGUAGGCGGUCUGUCGCGUCGGCUGUGAAAACCCGAGGCUCAACCUCGGGCCUGCAGUCGAUACGGGCAAACUAGAGUACUGCAGGGGAGACUGGAAUUCCUGGUGUAGCGGUGAAAUGCGCAGAUAUCAGGAGGAACACCGGUGGCGAAGGCGGGUCUCUGGGCAGUAACUGACGCUGAGGAGCGAAAGCGUGGGGAGCGAACAGG